RNAcentral lists this transfer RNA (68 nucleotides) under Marmota monax (woodchuck). RNAcentral describes it as "tRNA.Ala". It matches the Rfam family "tRNA", at positions 6 to 65 of the family's 71-position model. From Rfam's summary of the family: Transfer RNA (tRNA) molecules are approximately 80 nucleotides in length. Their secondary structure includes four short double-helical elements and three loops (D, anti-codon, and T loops). Lineage: Eukaryota; Metazoa; Chordata; Mammalia; Rodentia; Sciuridae. The record is from RNAcentral.
GGAUAUAGCUCAGUUGGUAGAGUGCUUGCUCUGCAUGCACAAGGCCCUGGGUUCAAUCCCCAGUACCA